This 97-nucleotide transfer RNA is filed under the name Chloroflexota bacterium. RNAcentral describes it as "Chloroflexi bacterium (groundwater metagenome) tRNA-Sec". It matches the Rfam family "Selenocysteine transfer RNA". The record is from RNAcentral. Lineage: Bacteria; Bacillati; Chloroflexota.
GGGGGUGGAUUGGUCCCGGUGGGCUGCGCGGGCUUCAAACCCGUUGGUGGGCACGCUGAGUGUCCACGGUGGGUUCGACUCCCAUCCACUCCCGCCA